GGCAAGUGAGGAAUAUGAAAUACCCUUAUGGCUGAAUCAGGGUGAAGGGGAAGCUUGUAAGCGUGGAAGACGCUCUACUCAAACUAAAAAGUUCGGGUUCUGAUCCAGCAGAUGAAAAGAGAGGCCUGAGAGGCUGCUGUUUUAACUUGCUCCCAGCCGAGCGUGAUGGCUCAUGCCUGUAAUCCUAGCACUUUGAGAGGCCGAGGUGUGCGAAUCACGUGAAGACAGGAGUUUGAGACCAGCCUGGGCAACAUGAGACAGGGCCUUACUCUGCUGCCCAGGCUGGAGUACAGUGGCACAAUCAUAGCUGAUUGCAGCCUCAAACUGCUGGGCUCAAGCGAAACUCCCGCGUCAGCCUCCUGAGUCCCUGGGACUACAGAUUCAAGUGAUUCUUCUGCCUCAGCCUCCCAAGUAGCUGGAAUUACAGGUACUGAGGAUGGAGGACAAGGGGUCAGUAGAGACCCAGCUUUGAGCAGAGCCCUGCCUAAGGUCUAGGGCUUGAUCUGGCCCUAACCACAGUCACUUUGAGGUAUGUAACCCCUCCUGGCUUCAAUUUCCUGACUUUUAGGAGUGUAUUAAUCCUAUUUCAUAGGUAGAGCACUUAGUAAGAAAUUGGUGGCCAGGUGUGGUGGCUCACGCCUGUAAUCCCAGCACUUUGGGAGGCUGAGGGGGUUGAUUGCUUGAGCCCAGGAAUUUGAGACCAGCCUGGGCAACAUAGUGAGACCUUGCCUCUACAAAAAAA
RNAcentral lists this small RNA (742 nucleotides) under Pongo abelii (Sumatran orangutan). RNAcentral describes it as "processed transcript". The record is from RNAcentral. Lineage: Eukaryota; Metazoa; Chordata; Mammalia; Primates; Hominidae.